This 700-nucleotide ribosomal RNA is filed under the name uncultured bacterium. RNAcentral's name for it is "bacterial SSU rRNA". It matches the Rfam family "Bacterial small subunit ribosomal RNA", at positions 8 to 753 of the family's 1533-position model. The record is from RNAcentral.
AGAGUUUGAUCCUGGCUCAGAACGAACGCCGGCGGCAGGCCUAACACAUGCAAGUCGAGCGCGCCCUUUCGGGGUGAGCGGCGGACGGGUGAGUAACGCGUGGGAACGUGCCCUUCUCUACGGAAUAGUCUCGGGAAACUGGGGGUAAUGCCGUAUACGCCCUUCGGGGGAAAGAUUUAUCGGGGAAGGAUCGGCCCGCGUUGGAUUAGGUAGUUGGUGGGGUAAUGGCCUACCAAGCCGACGAUCCAUAGCUGGUUUGAGAGGAUGAUCAGCCACACUGGGACUGAGACACGGCCCAGACUCCUACGGGAGGCAGCAGUGGGGAAUCUUAGACAAUGGGGGAAACCCUGAUCUAGCCAUGCCGCGUGAGUGACGAAGGCCCUAGGGUCGUAAAGCUCUUUCGCCAGGGAAGAUAAUGACGGUACCUGGUAAAGAAGUCCCGGCUAACUCCGUGCCAGCAGCCGCGGUAAUACGGAGGGGACUAGCGUUGUUCGGAAUUACUGGGCGUAAAGCGCGCGUAGGCGGAUCAGCAAGUUAGGGGUGAAAUCCCGGGGCUCAACCCCGGAACUGCCCUUAAAACUGCUGGUCUCGAGUUCGAGAGAGGUGAGUGGAAUUCCGAGUGUAGAGGUGAAAUUCGUAGAUAUUCGGAGGAACACCAGUGGCGAAGGCGGCUCACUGGCUCGAUACUGACGCUGAGGUG